Molecule: ribosomal RNA, 246 nt
Filed under: uncultured bacterium
Lineage: Bacteria
Description: partial 16S ribosomal RNA
Rfam family: Bacterial small subunit ribosomal RNA
Source: RNAcentral
CGUAGGGAGCGAGCGUUAUCCGGAUUUAUUGGGUGUAAAGGGUGCGUAGGCGGUAAUACAGGUCUGUGGUAUAAGCCCGAAGCUUAACUUCGGUUCGCCACAGAAACCGUAUAACUAGAGUAUGGUAGAGGCAAGUGGAAUUUCUAGUGUAGCGGUAAAAUGCGGAGAUAUUAGAAGGAACACCAGUGGCGAAGGCGACUUGCUGGGCCAAAACUGACGCUGAGGCACGAAAGCGUGGGGAGCGAA